RNAcentral lists this ribosomal RNA (490 nucleotides) under Compsobraconoides sp. 4. RNAcentral's name for it is "eukaryotic LSU rRNA". Lineage: Eukaryota; Metazoa; Arthropoda; Insecta; Hymenoptera; Braconidae. The record is from RNAcentral.
CCUGAGAAACCCAAAAGAUCGAAUGGGGAGAUUCAUCGUCAGCUCAUUCUGUAUAUAUGCAGGUUGUGAUAUGGGUUACCGCUUGUGUGCCACUUGUGGUAUCUGGCUGGUAUUGCUUGUACACUCUUGUAUAUUUUUCUUGCAGAAUGUGGUCGGCGUGCACUUCUCCCCUAGUAGAACGUCGCGACCCGUUGAGUUUAAUUAUAUUUUGUAAGUCUACGGCCCAAGUGAUAGUUUUUGAUAUUCAGUUUAUUCGGUUUAUUGAAAAUCCUUGGUGUUUUCCUGACUUACACUCGGCGGUAUUCGUACGGUAUUAAGCCGCAUUAAUUUAUUAUAUGCGUCCUGUCCUACACAAGCGAGGCUAGUUUUUAAAAACUGACAGUACGGACCUAGUGCCGUCGUUGGUUCUGGCCAGCUGUUCGUUGUAUGGUACUCUAGGACUGGCUUAAAAUAUAUAUAAUAUACCGGUCAGCGAUGCUACUGCUUUGGG